ACUACAGAAGAUUGGAGUCUUAUUAUGGACAUAUGUGACAAAGUUGGAAGUACUCCUAAUGGAGCGAAAGAUUGCCUAAAAGCCAUAAUGAAAAGGGUAAAUCAUAAGGUUCCACAUGUUGCUCUGCAAGCACUAACUCUUCUUGGGGCUUGUGUGGCAAACUGUGGAAAGAUAUUUCAUUUAGAAGUAUGUUCCCGUGAUUUUGCAACAGAAGUACGUGCUGUGAUUAAAAAUAAGGCACAUCCUAAAGUAUGUGAAAAACUGAAAUCUUUAAUGGUGGAGUGGUCAGAAGAAUUUCAGAAGGACCCUCAGUUUAGUCUGAUAUCUGCAACUAUUAAAUCUAUGAAAGAAGAAGGAAUUACUUUUCCUCCAGCAGGUUCUCAGGGCUGGGCGCGGUGGCUCACGCCUGUAAUCCCAGCACUUUGGGAGGCCGAGGUGGGCAGAUCAUGAGGUCAAGAGAUCGAGACCAGCCUGACCAACAAGCUAUUGAAUUAUCGCUGCAAGAACAGAAACAGCAACACACAGAAACAAAAUCCUUAUAUCCAUCUUCAGAAAUUCAGUUAAAUAAUAAGGUUGCACGGAAAGUGAGAGCUUUAUAUG
RNAcentral lists this small RNA (600 nucleotides) under Pan troglodytes (chimpanzee). RNAcentral describes it as "processed transcript". The record is from RNAcentral. Lineage: Eukaryota; Metazoa; Chordata; Mammalia; Primates; Hominidae.